This 209-nucleotide ribosomal RNA is filed under the name Acinetobacter baumannii. Its description in RNAcentral is "partial 23S ribosomal RNA". It matches the Rfam family "Bacterial large subunit ribosomal RNA", at positions 2714 to 2925 of the family's 2925-position model. RNAcentral also lists the same sequence under 3 other names. The record is from RNAcentral. Lineage: Bacteria; Pseudomonadati; Pseudomonadota; Gammaproteobacteria; Moraxellales; Moraxellaceae.
GUACCAGUUGUCGUGCCAACGGCAUAGCUGGGUAGCUAUGUAUGGACGGGAUAAGUGCUGAAAGCAUCUAAGCAUGAAGCCCCCCUCAAGAUGAGAUUUCCCAACUUCGGUUAUAAGAUCCCUCGAAGAUGACGAGGUUAAUAGGUUCGAGGUGGAAGCGUGGUGACACGUGGAGCUGACGAAUACUAAUCGAUCGAAGACUUAAUCAA